GCAGGCCUAACACAUGCAAGUCGAACGGUAACAGGAAGCAGCUUGCUUCUUCGCUGACGAGUGGCGGACGGGUGAGUAAUGUCUGGGAAACUGCCUGAUGGAGGGGGAUAACUACUGGAAACGGUAGCUAAUACCGCAUAACGUCGCAAGACCAAAGAGGGGGACCUUCGGGCCUCUUGCCAUCGGAUGUGCCCAGAUGGGAUUAGCUUGUGGUGGGGUAACGGCUCACCAGGCGACGAUCCCUAGCUGGUCUGAGAGGAUGACCAGCCACACUGGAACUGAGACACGGUCCAGACUCCUACGGGAGGCAGCAGUGGGGAAUAUUGCACAAUGGGCGCAAGCCUGAUGCAGCCAUGCCGCGUGUAUGAAGAAGGCCUUCGGGUUGUAAAGUACUUUCAGCGGGGAGGAAGGGAGUAAAGUUAAUACCUUUGCUCAUUGACGUUACCCGCAGAAGAAGCACCGGCUAACUCCGUGCCAGCAGCCGCGGUAAUACGGAGGGUGCAAGCGUUAAUCGGAAUUACUGGGCGUAAAGCGCACGCAGGCGGUUUGUUAAGUCAGAUGUGAAAUCCCCGGGCUCAACCUGGGAACUGCAUCUGAUACUGGCAAGCUUGAGUCUCGUAGAGGGGGGUAGAAUUCCAGGUGUAGCGGUGAAAUGCGUAGAGAUCUGGAGGAAUACCCGGUGGCGAAGGCGGCCCCCUGGACGAAGAC
This 708-nucleotide ribosomal RNA is filed under the name Shigella sp. RNAcentral describes it as "bacterial SSU rRNA". It matches the Rfam family "Bacterial small subunit ribosomal RNA", at positions 42 to 740 of the family's 1533-position model. The record is from RNAcentral. Lineage: Bacteria; Pseudomonadati; Pseudomonadota; Gammaproteobacteria; Enterobacterales; Enterobacteriaceae.